RNAcentral lists this ribosomal RNA (514 nucleotides) under uncultured bacterium. Its description in RNAcentral is "bacterial SSU rRNA". It matches the Rfam family "Bacterial small subunit ribosomal RNA", at positions 32 to 518 of the family's 1533-position model. The record is from RNAcentral.
AACGCUGGCGGCGUGCCUAAUACAUGCAAGUCGAACGGUCUUUUCUAUGGAAGCUUGCUUCCACUGAGAAGAUAGUGGCGAACGGGUGAGUAACACGUGGGUAACCUGCCCAUAAGAGGGGGAUAACAUCCGGAAACGGGUGCUAAUACCGCAUAGUUUUCUUGAUUGCAUGAUUGAGAAAGGAAAGACGGCCUUUGUGCUGUCGCUUAUGGAUGGACCCGCGGCGUAUUAGUUAGUUGGUGAGGUAACGGCUCACCAAGACGAUGAUACGUAGCCGACCUGAGAGGGUGAUCGGCCACAUUGGGACUGAGACACGGCCCAAACUCCUACGGGAGGCAGCAGUAGGGAAUCUUCCGCAAUGGACGAAAGUCUGACGGAGCAACGCCGCGUGAGUGAAGAAAGGUUUUCGGAUCGUAAAACUCUGUUGUCAGAGAAGAACAAGUUGGAGAGUAACUGCUCCAGCCUUGACGGUGUCUGACCAGAAAGCCACGGCUAACUACGUGCCAGCCGCAGC